GAUGAACGCUAGCGGCAGGCCUAACGCAUGCAAGUCGAGGGAGAGGUUACCUUCGGGUAACCAAAACCGGCGCACGGGUGCGUAACGCGUAUACAAUCUGCCUUUCACAUAGGGAUAGCCCGAAGAAAUUUGGAUUAAUACCUAAUGGUAUAUAAGAGCGGCAUCGUUUUUAUAUUAAAGCUACGGUGGUGAAAGAUGAGUAUGCGUUCUAUUAGCUAGUUGGAGAGGUAACGGCUCCCCAAGGCGACGAUAGAUAGGGGUUCUGAGAGGGAUGUCCCCCACACUGGUACUGAGAUACGGACCAGACUCCUACGGGAGGCAGCAGUGAGGAAUAUUGGACAAUGGUCGGAAGACUGAUCCAGCCAUGCCGCGUGCAGGAUGAAGGUCCUAUGGAUUGUAAACUGCUUUUGUAAGGGAAGAAUAAGGAGUACGUGUACUUUGAUGACGGUACCUUACGAAUAAGCAUCGGCUAACUCCGUG
This 480-nucleotide ribosomal RNA is filed under the name uncultured bacterium. RNAcentral's name for it is "partial 16S ribosomal RNA". It matches the Rfam family "Bacterial small subunit ribosomal RNA", at positions 28 to 507 of the family's 1533-position model. The record is from RNAcentral.